UACGGAGGAUGCAAGCGUUAUCCGGAUUUAUUGGGUUUAAAGGGUGCGCAGGUUGUUUGAUAAGUCAGUGGUGAAAGUCUGUCGCUUAACGGUAGGAUUGCCAUUGAUACUGUUAGACUUGAAUAUGGAUGAGGUAGGCGGAAUGUGUAGUGUAGCGGUGAAAUGCACAGAUAUUACACAGAACACCGAUUGCGAAGGCGGCUUACUAAUCCAUCAUUGACGCUGAGGCACGAAAGCGUGGGGAUCAAACAGGAUUA
Molecule: ribosomal RNA, 257 nt
Filed under: uncultured prokaryote
Description: partial 16S ribosomal RNA
Rfam family: Bacterial small subunit ribosomal RNA
Source: RNAcentral